This 247-nucleotide ribosomal RNA is filed under the name uncultured bacterium. RNAcentral's name for it is "partial 16S ribosomal RNA". It matches the Rfam family "Bacterial small subunit ribosomal RNA", at positions 8 to 254 of the family's 1533-position model. The record is from RNAcentral.
AGAGUUUGAUCAUGGCUCAGGACGAACGCUGGCGGCACGCUUAACACAUGCAAGUCGAACGGUGAAGAGAAGCUUGCUUCUCGGAUCAGUGGCGGACGGGUGAGUAACACGUGAGCAACCUGCCUUUAAGAGGGGGAUAACGUUUGGAAACGAACGCUAAUACCGCAUAACAUAGAAGAUUCGCAUGUUUCUUCUAUCAAAGAUUUAUCGCUUAAAGAUGGGCUCGCGUCUGAUUAGCUGGUUGGUG